RNAcentral lists this long non-coding RNA (279 nucleotides) under Zea mays. RNAcentral describes it as "long non-coding RNA (ZMAY_LNC002942)". The record is from RNAcentral. Lineage: Eukaryota; Viridiplantae; Streptophyta; Magnoliopsida; Poales; Poaceae.
CCAUGCCUAUAUCAUAAAGAGUGUAAAGUGCAUUGUGUCAUAGUAUAAGUGUGAUGCUCAUGACAUUUUAUGCACUUAUGAAAGUAUGUUAUAAAUAUCUCAAGCAUUUACCCUUAAGGAUUUCAAGGAGACUUAAGGACCAUCCACCUUUGGAACAAAAGGCAGCUUAUCCUCGUUACAAGGUUAAGCUUUAAGCUCCUUGACAAUAAAAUUACUUCACCCAGUUUAAACAAAGAUGUAAAAAUGAAUGUUUGAGAAGUUAAACUAGGUAUGAAGCAG